UCUCCCACUCUCUGCAACUUCUCUCCCUCUCCCAGUUUGGUCCAGCAGCAAACAGAAAAAGAAGAUAAGAAAACCAUAAAUAUUCCUUGCUCCCUCUUUGAAUCACUCGGCCGGUUGAUGCUAGAAGGAAACCAAAAUCCUUUUUGACAAAAUAAAAGAGGAAAAGAUAAGGACAAGGAGGAACUCUCUGGAAGGUAGAAGGUCAACCCUGAAGCUAAUGACAAGUCCAGGUAAGGGGAUACAACACCAAAAAACCCCAACAAAAUUUUACUACAAAUCUUUUUGAAAAAGUGUUGGAGAAUUUUACAAAGCAUUCACGUACGUGAUUUUUAAUUAUUUCAAUGCCAAGCUUUUAUUACUUAUGUGUUAUUAUUCAAGAAUUUUGUGGAUAAACUAUAGUUAUGAUUAAGAGCAUUUUAAAGUAUUGGUUUAUGCAUAAUUACAGUUGUAAAUAAGAGCAUUUCAAAGUUAUUAUAGUUAUGAUUAAGAGCAUUUUUAAAGUUAUGAUUAUGAAUAAAGCAUUCUAUAGCUUAUGAUUUAUACAUGAAUACAGUUUUGAAUGAAAAGAUGAUCUAAGGUUUAAAAUCUGCACAUGACUAUAGUUAUGAAAAUGGCUCUUACAAUUUUAAAGUAAAGUGUAUAGUUAUAGCAGAGCUUACAGAAAUACAGAAAACGUUUAUGUGUAGUAAUUGUUUAACCCUGAGGCAUUAUUACAGUUAUGAUCGGUACCAUAUAGGGCAGCAUGGCAAGCAUACCAAAAGACGAUGUGUGCUACCGGCCGGGGUUGGCCUUCACCUAGGGAAGUUCCCCAACCCGGCGACUCUCCCCUGUGAUAGCAGGCUGAGUCUAUAGGUUCUUGCGACAAAAGCCAACUUGCUCUGCUCACGGGUAAUAGCGGUGUGGAGUCUAUAAAGGGGAAAACUACAGUUUUAAGAGAAAAUAAAUGAAAAGAAUUUACUUGAUCAUUUAUAAAUUUCUUAUGCUAUUAUUCAUGUUCCUUGUUCAUUUAUUUUUAAUUUCUGUUUUAAUUGUUAAUUACAUUAUAGCUUGUUUUAUUUCCCUGGUGUUGUAAUUUCCUUAAUGAGUUGUUGACUUCACCCAUUUUCCUGUGUUUUUUCCUGAUAUCUCAGUUCAUUGUGCAUUGAUUGCCUAUGCUUAUAUAUGAUUCAGAGUUUAUGUCUGAUAUCUGUUAAGUUUUCCUGUGCAUCUUAAUGCUAGAUAGUUACCUUUCUCAUGCGAUGAUUUUUGUGCACUAUCCAAAGCUCCCCUAAGGUACAUUUUUUUUUUCUCUCUAACUUUAUGCUUUUGAAGAUUCUUAUGAGAGAUAUAUAUUUUUAUUUUUUUGAUAAGAUGAUUAAAUUAACCAACUCACUAGUUGAACCUAGAACCUAUAAAUUCUGGCAUUCUUUAUAGGUUGCAGCACCAAGUGAUAAAAAGCAUUCAAAAAUCAAUAAAUAUGGAUAAAUAAAAAGAUCCACUGCUUAUUGUGCUAUAAAUCUGUUAUUAAACUUGUCCCUAAAGAAACAGUCAAUGACCAAAUCAUUGCGGAAAGAGACGAUCAUUAAAGGACUAAGUAAAAGAAAAGUGCUGCAGCUUAGAAAGAGUGUAUCAAAUGAGGGUGGCUAGGCCUUAGUAAAAUAAGGUUUGACUUUUGACUAAUCUAUCAUUGAUUUUCUCUCUUGUUUAGAAAAUUCAGUUGCUUUAAGUCAUAUCAGUGAACUUCAUACCUUAUUCAAAAAGCUUUCACACACACGCAUUGCAUGAGUUGAGUAAUUUAUCUAAAAUUUCUAUCUGCAAGGAACUUUGUGCUUAACUCUCUGUUAGUUUGUAAUUGGCUUCAUUCUGUUGGACAAAAUCACUUCUUUGUAAUGAUGCUUUUAAACAGGGAUUCCGCUAUUCAGAGUACAUCGAGAAGAUUCUGCAUAGUCUACAAGUAAGAAAAAUCGGAUCCCUUGCAGCCGUCUGGACAACGUGAUAUACCGUACGGACGCCCAACUGUCCAAAGCAUCAUCCAUCUGGACGACGAGAACUUUUCAUCUGGACCUUCCUCAGUGUCGAGAAUCUUCGAACUGCUCCAGCUUGCAUCUGUCCGGAUGUUUUAGCAGCACGUCCGAACGACACUCAGUGUUCGACAAGCUAUGAGAUUUCUUUCCAAAAACACAUAUAUGGGAAGAUCGCUGCAACCAUCCGGACGCACUCAUCCAUAAGGCAAGUAUCACAUUCAAAAUCCGGACGUUCGGACGCCAGUCUUCAUGGUCCAGACGGGUAGGCUAUUUAUAUGGAAAUUGUGUGCAUCAAAUCAACCGUCCAGACGACCAUUCCCUUGGUCCAGAUGCGCGAAGCCUUAAUAUGGAAAUUGCAUGCAGCUGAAGUGCGACCGUCCGGACAACAGGGCAACACCGUCCGGACGCGGCUCAAAUCAGGAAAGAAUUUUAGCGAAAUUUUGGAAAGCCGAUUGCACAAAUGUCCAUCUGGACACCCUUUCUCUACCGUCCGAACGACGCCUAGGUUUUAUCAAGCCAGACGCUCAAUUGAACCUACAGCCUAUAAAUAGAGGUCCCUAGACUUGAGAACUGCAAGAAUUCGGUAUUGAAUUCCUUAGUGCUUAGAGAGUUAUAUUAUAAGGUUAUUGUGCUGAGUAAGUCUCUCUAAAGCCAUUACUGUGUGUGCUAUUGCUGCGCUGAUCUGAUCUGAAGUCUAUCUUAGGGGUUGGCCCUAAGGUAAAGGAUUCCAUUGAAGACCCCUUCAGGUAGGAGACCUGGUUGGGAGGCGUUCGUGUUAGGUUAUACGUUAGAGUGCAAGGUACGACCACUGCAUCAGGGAACCAUGUCUGCAGGCAAUUCUCAGCAUAGGGUCCGACAGAGGACAGAAGAAACUCGAGCUACCUCCUUAGUUAAAAUGGAGAACAGACAGGCUAUGCCAGAGAGGAAUGUACUUAGAGCAGAUGUUAUGGUAGCUUCCCUAGAUUACAUUGCUGAGAUCAUCUGAGACAAUCAUUGGGGAUAUCUUUACAACUGUGCAUGUACAGUAUAUUCCAGGUUGGUGUGAGAGUUUUAUGGGUACCUGGAGGUGAUUCAGGAUGAGGACCAUGGGAUCAUACUUCAGACUUCAAUUCAGGGGCACGUCAUUCAGAUUGAUCCUCAUGUCAUCAGUGCCAUCAUUGAUGUCCAGUUCUACCUAUUUUUGCCAGUCCCUUCAACGAGUUAGUAGAGCCUCUUCCAUUGGAUCAGCUGAGGAAUUUCUUUCAUGCUCAUCCAAUGGGCCAUGAUCGAGCUUAUGCUCUUAUUAAGAUAGGUGCUUUCUCUCCCCCACACCGGCUACUUGCAAAAAUUGUUUUACAUAAUCUCUGGCCCACAACUCGUAGAAGUGAGCUUGUGUUGAAAAGGGCUCAGUUUUUGUAUGCUCUAUGUAUGAGGAUACCUUUUUGCUUAUGUAAGCACAUUCUCAACCUUAUGCUAGAGAUGAGAGAUGACAGGGCUUCCUUUUACGUGCUUGAUCACGAAUCUCAUUGUUCAAUCUCAGAUAGAUAGCUCUGCAGAGCCCUUGAUAAGAGUGUAGGAUCCUCUCGGUAGUCAGACUCUCAUGAAGUCUAAUGCUCAGUUGCGGUUCGAAGGUCAAGGCGAAGCUCAUCAACAUCCUCCAGCUCAGGAUGAUCAGCAUACAACAGCUUCCUCUUCUGAGAUUGUUCCUCCGCUUCCACUUCAAGAUGCAGGAUUUGCUCAAAUUAUGGCUACAUUGAGCUUUAUUCAGGGGGAUGUCAGCUCUAUUCAACGGGAGGUCUGCUCUAUCAGUACUAGAGUUGAGCAGUGCCAGCUUGACAUCCAAGAGUGUCUCCAGCACCAUCAUCCUUAUGAUGAGGAUUGAUUUUUUUUUUUGUGUUUUAUUUAUUUUGAGACAAUUUUUUUUGUUAUUCCUAUUUUACAUAUUUGUAUAACUUUAUAACUUUGGGUUUUAUUUACUCUGUUUACCCUUGUCCUACUGAGACAUUAAGGGUUCAUUUGGGAUUACGAUUUCAAUUAGUGUGAUUUUAAA
This is a long non-coding RNA of Alnus glutinosa, 4032 nucleotides long. RefSeq lists it as uncharacterized. The transcript is spliced from 4 exons. The record is from RefSeq and is a predicted model, not a curated record. Lineage: Eukaryota; Viridiplantae; Streptophyta; Magnoliopsida; Fagales; Betulaceae.